AGCAGAAGGAUGGGUUUAGAAUUAGAUUGUUGCGGUCCAUCACUCUCCACAGGGAGCCUAAACUACUGAACAUCUUCCACCCCGCACGCAUCGGGUUACCCCACUAGUCGGUAGUCUCACUGUGGGCGUGGUACCCAGAACUUACCCAGCUCUUCUGUGAGUCUCCCUAGAGAAAAAACGAAGAAAAGAGGAAAAUCUCAAUUGAUGUACACUGAGGCUUCACUUCUCCAAAGAGCACAGACUCGGCCCCAGUGCGUUCUGAGGAACCAGGAGGGGCUACACGCGAGGGAGGAGCGGGCUCCGUGGCAGGGGAAGUGGCAAAGCAAACCUCCGCCACCGCGUUUCUCACUUCCAAGCGCCCCGGGUCUGAAGUACUCGCCUUCCUGAACCAGCAAAUUCCCCCUCUCCCCACCACCUUCAGCUAGUUAAGGGUGCGGGCAAAGAGCGCGCCUCUUUCCCUGCUUACCUUUGUCCUUCUCAGCCUGCUCCUUCAACUUUUCUGAAAAGAGGAAAGAAGGGGAGGGCACGUAACGGUACACACUCGCCUGCUGUUUCCAAGGCCCACCCCAGCCCCGCGUUUUCGCAAGACCGCACCUCUUUGGUGCCCUCUCCGCGGGCCUCCUCCUCCACUUUCCUCCCAGCAAAGCCUGAGCCUGGCGGGAGGCCCCCAGCCUGCCCCGUACCUUGGGACCUACGUUGCUUCUGAAAGAAGUACAGCGCCAGCGUCAAGAGAAAAGCCAGGAGGAAUGGCAGUCCCACCAGAGACCCAAGGAAAGCUCUCUUCCAGGGUGAGGUUCCGGGUAAAAAUGCAUCUGGAAAACACCCCACAAGGAGUUGUUUCGCUUUAGGCGCCACUAAACACUAAGUGAGAAGACUAUUCUGGACCCAGCGUGCCGGAAAUCCUUCCAAGUUGGCAGGCGUUAAACCUUCUGGGCAGCACCAUAGCAAUCUGUGAAAACUGGCAUCAUGACAGCGGCCGCACCACGCUCUCCCCAGGCUCACUGAGGAGGCUCUGCCCUGAAGCAAGAUGUGGCCCAGGCCCACUCAGACAGGGGCUAGAUGGCAAAGAGAUACAUGGAAAAUGGAAGGAAUGUGAACCUGAGUGCAAGAGUUCGAUAUUUAUUGAGGGCUCUCAAUAAAUAUCAUUUAAGGGAUGAAAUUAGGAACACAUGGGAUCUCAUGAUGACCUCUAAUUAAUAGUUUCUGGAUUUCAGGGCAUGGACUUUAGUGCAUAAGUUGGUUCCCUGGGGCCUCCCCUGCAUACUGUCUGGGUGAGUGGUAGCUGUUGUACUCUUAGUAGGUUCCUGAUAUCCAAAUCACUAACUUUUCAGGUGUCAAGACCAGCCCACCCCAUAGACAGCCAGGCCCCAGUACCACUGUGCCCUUUUAGAUGGCCUUUGGAACAAUGUACAGGGAGGACAUGAUGAGUAAGAAGAUGAGGGUUAGUUGGCACCAACUGACCUGCUAUCUGGAUGGUGAACUCUUUCUUCUGUAUCAGGAGAGAGUUCUGGAUGGAGCAGGACACAUUACUGUGGGCACCCCCUUGAACAAUCACAGAUGUUUCCAGAUUGAACAGGCCCUGGGCAUCCUGGACUAUGGCUUCCAUCUUUGGAGGCAGGCACUGUCCUUUAUGAUCUUUCCACUGAGCCUGGGGCUUGGGGUACCAGCCACUGGAACUGCACUUCAGCUGAAUGCCUCCCUCCUUGAAGCCCUCAAGGGAGAUGUGAGGGUCUGAGCCCAUCCCUGGGAAAAGCAAGAAGAGUGGGAAAGAUCAGGCUCCUUCCCAGAAGUUGUACAUGAUGUUCAUGCCACCACUCACCAUCUGCAGUCAUUAUAAGGAAUCAUGACUGUGACUGCUCCUAACACACAUGUGGGCUCACAGCCCCCACCUGUGGAAUGUAAAUUACAGUUUAUUUUUAAGUUUAUUUAUUUAUUUAUUUUGAGAGACAGAGUAUCUGCAUGUGCAAGUUGGGGAGGGGCAGACAUAGAGGGAGAGAAUUCCAAAUAGGCUUCAUGUUGUCAGCGUAGAGCCCCAUAUGGGGCUCGAUCCCACAAACCAUGAUAUCAUGACCUGAGCCGAAAUCAAGAGUUGGAUUAUUAACCUACUUAGCCACCCAGGUGCCCAUAAAUAAUAUUUUAAAUUUGUGGUGGCAUGUGGGACAUGGGAACAGUAGUACCCAUGAAGGACAUUUGGAAAUAUUAUGGGGGGCUAUUUGGCCAAGAAGAGCUGCUGGAAUUUAGUCAUAUUACAUAAGGGACAGUCCCUUGAAGUAAAGAAAAAUCCCACCCCAAAUUUCAAUAUAUUGCCCUCUGUGUCUCUUGAAUCCCACCAGCAUUCAAGUGCCUGUGUCACAUGCACUCCUUUAUUUCUCCAUCCUGAGGAGCUAACUUUAUAUUUUGAAUAUGCAAAACAUUAAUAUGUUUAGGAACAUGCAGAAGAAUGAAACUAGACCAC
Acinonyx jubatus (cheetah) is the source of this 2455-nucleotide long non-coding RNA. RefSeq lists it as uncharacterized. NCBI's taxonomy places the organism in Eukaryota, Metazoa, Chordata, Mammalia, Carnivora, Felidae. The transcript is spliced from 3 exons. The record is from RefSeq and is a predicted model, not a curated record.